Molecule: ribosomal RNA, 57 nt
Filed under: Enterobacter hormaechei
Lineage: Bacteria; Pseudomonadati; Pseudomonadota; Gammaproteobacteria; Enterobacterales; Enterobacteriaceae
Description: partial 23S ribosomal RNA
Source: RNAcentral
UGCGUUGAGCUAACCGAUACUAAUGAACCGUGAGGCUUAACCUUACAACGCCGAAGC